This 176-nucleotide non-coding RNA is filed under the name uncultured Agathobaculum sp. RNAcentral's name for it is "Lysine riboswitch". It matches the Rfam family "Lysine riboswitch aptamer". From Rfam's summary of the family: Riboswitches are metabolite binding domains within certain messenger RNAs that serve as precision sensors for their corresponding targets. Allosteric rearrangement of mRNA structure is mediated by ligand binding, and this results in modulation of gene expression. Lineage: Bacteria; Bacillati; Bacillota; Clostridia; Eubacteriales; Butyricicoccaceae. The record is from RNAcentral.
CAGAUAGAGGCGCGGUUUUCAUCAGUAUCGUCUGGGAGGGUCCGUAAACCCGUUUAAGCAGCCGAGAAAGGGUCUUCCGCCGAAGCCGGUUCUUGUUGCGGCAAGGCUGUGCUGGACGUUCCGGAGAAUAUCCCUGCGUCUGUCAUCAGCAGAAAUGCCGGUGGAGAGCUAUUCUG